RNAcentral lists this ribosomal RNA (252 nucleotides) under uncultured bacterium. RNAcentral's name for it is "partial 16S ribosomal RNA". It matches the Rfam family "Bacterial small subunit ribosomal RNA", at positions 524 to 776 of the family's 1533-position model. The record is from RNAcentral.
UACGUAGGGCGCAAGCGUUGUCCGGAAUUAUUGGGCGUAAAGAGCUCGUAGGCGGCCUGUUGCGUCCGCUGUGAAAGCCCGGGGCUUAACCCCGGGCCUGCAGUGGAUACGGGCAGGCUGGAGGCAGGCAGGGGAGAACGGAAUUCCCGGUGUAGCGGUGAAAUGCGCAGAUAUCGGGAGGAACACCGGUGGCGAAGGGCGGUUCUCUGGGCCUGUACUGACGCGAGGAGCGAAGCGUGGGGAGCGAACAGG